Bifidobacterium indicum is the source of this 45-nucleotide regulatory RNA element. It matches the Rfam family "L31-Actinobacteria ribosomal protein leader". The record is from Rfam. Lineage: Bacteria; Bacillati; Actinomycetota; Actinomycetes; Bifidobacteriales; Bifidobacteriaceae.
CCGGUUCCGGUUCACGUUGACCAUAGGGGUCGGCGACCCGGUGCC